This 192-nucleotide ribosomal RNA is filed under the name Flavobacterium pectinovorum. RNAcentral's name for it is "partial 16S ribosomal RNA". It matches the Rfam family "Bacterial small subunit ribosomal RNA", at positions 1 to 191 of the family's 1533-position model. The record is from RNAcentral. Lineage: Bacteria; Pseudomonadati; Bacteroidota; Flavobacteriia; Flavobacteriales; Flavobacteriaceae.
UAUACGAUGAAGAGUUUGAUCCUGGCUCAGGAUGAACGCUAGCGGCAGGCUUAACACAUGCAAGUCGAGGGGUAUAGUUCUUCGGAACUAGAGACCGGCGCACGGGUGCGUAACGCGUAUGCAAUCUACCUUUUACAGAGGGAUAGCCCAGAGAAAUUUGGAUUAAUACCUCAUAGCAUAGCAGCUUCGCAU